RNAcentral lists this ribosomal RNA (1334 nucleotides) under Aeromonas veronii. RNAcentral describes it as "partial 23S ribosomal RNA". It matches the Rfam family "Bacterial large subunit ribosomal RNA", at positions 162 to 1552 of the family's 2925-position model. The record is from RNAcentral. Lineage: Bacteria; Pseudomonadati; Pseudomonadota; Gammaproteobacteria; Aeromonadales; Aeromonadaceae.
AUACAUAGGUAACAGAGGCGAACCGGGAGAACUGAAACAUCUAAGUACCCCGAGGAAAAGAAAUCAACCGAGAUUCCCUCAGUAGCGGCGAGCGAACGGGGAUUAGCCCUUAAGCAUCUUGGAAGUUAGUGGAACGGUCCUGGAAAGGCCGGCGAUACAGGGUGAUAGCCCCGUACACGAAAACAACCUUGAUGUGAAAUCGAGUAGGGCGGGACACGUGACAUCCUGUCUGAAUAUGGGGGGACCAUCCUCCAAGGCUAAAUACUCCUGACUGACCGAUAGUGAACCAGUACCGUGAGGGAAAGGCGAAAAGAACCCCUGUGAGGGGAGUGAAAUAGAACCUGAAACCGUGUACGUACAAGCAGUGGGAGCCCUUCGGGGUGACUGCGUACCUUUUGUAUAAUGGGUCAGCGACUUACAUUUUGUAGCGAGGUUAACCGUAUAGGGGAGCCGUAGGGAAACCGAGUCUUAACUGGGCGUCUAGUUGCAAGGUGUAGACCCGAAACCGGGUGAUCUAGCCAUGGGCAGGUUGAAGGUUGAGUAACAUCAACUGGAGGACCGAACCCACUAACGUUGCAAAGUUAGGGGAUGACCUGUGGCUGGGGGUGAAAGGCCAAUCAAACUCGGAGAUAGCUGGUUCUCCCCGAAAGCUAUUUAGGUAGCGCCUCGGACGAAUACUACUGGGGGUAGAGCACUGUUUGGGCUAGGGGGUCAUCCCGACUUACCAACCCCAUGCAAACUCCGAAUACCAGUAAGUAAUAUCCGGGAGACACACGGCGGGUGCUAACGUCCGUCGUGAAGAGGGAAACAACCCAGACCGCCGGCUAAGGUCCCAAAGUUCUGGUUAAGUGGGAAACGAUGUGGGAAGGCUCAGACAGCUAGGAUGUUGGCUUAGAAGCAGCCAUCAUUUAAAGAAAGCGUAAUAGCUCACUAGUCGAGUCGGCCUGCGCGGAAGAUGUAACGGGGCUCAAACCAGGCACCGAAGCCGCGGAUUCACACUUAUGUGUGAGUGGUAGGGGAGCGUUCUGUAAGUCUGCGAAGGUGUAUCGAGAGGUAUGCUGGAGAUAUCAGAAGUGCGAAUGCUGACGUAAGUAACGAUAAAGGGGGUGAAAAGCCUCCUCGCCGGAAGACCAAGGGUUCCUGUCCAACGUUAAUCGGGGCAGGGUGAGUCGACCCCUAAGGCGAGGCCGAAAGGCGUAGUCGAUGGGAAGCAGGUUAAUAUUCCUGCACGACUUGUAAUUGCGAUGGGGGGACGGAGAAGGCUAGGUGGGCCAGGCGACGGUUGUCCUGGUGAAAGUGCGUAGGUGGUGUUUCUAGGCAAAUCCGGAGACACA